Molecule: ribosomal RNA, 253 nt
Filed under: uncultured bacterium
Lineage: Bacteria
Description: partial 16S ribosomal RNA
Rfam family: Bacterial small subunit ribosomal RNA
Source: RNAcentral
GACGGGGGAUGCAAGCGUUAUCCGGAAUGAUUGGGCGUAAAGGGUCCGCAGGUGGCCCGGUCAGUCCGCUGUCAAAGCCUGGGGCUCAACCCUGGAGAGGCGGCGGAGACCACCGGGCUUGAGUCCGGUAGGGGCAGAGGGAAUUCCCGGUGGAGCGGUGGAAUGCGCAGAUAUCAGGAGGAACACCGAUGGCGAAGGCAGAUCUCUGGGCCGUAACUGACGCUGAGGAGCGAAAGCAUGGGGAGCGAACAGG